RNAcentral lists this transfer RNA (76 nucleotides) under SAR324 cluster bacterium. RNAcentral describes it as "tRNA-Thr". It matches the Rfam family "tRNA". Rfam says of the family: Transfer RNA (tRNA) molecules are approximately 80 nucleotides in length. Their secondary structure includes four short double-helical elements and three loops (D, anti-codon, and T loops). Further hydrogen bonds mediate the characteristic L-shaped molecular structure. tRNAs have two regions of fundamental functional importance: the anti-codon, which is responsible for specific mRNA codon recognition, and the 3' end, to which the tRNAs corresponding amino acid is attached (by aminoacyl-tRNA synthetases). tRNAs cope with the degeneracy of the genetic code in two manners: having more than one tRNA (with a specific anti-codon) for a particular amino acid; and 'wobble' base-pairing, i.e. permitting non-standard base-pairing at the 3rd anti-codon position. Lineage: Bacteria; Deltaproteobacteria. The record is from RNAcentral.
GCUCGCAUAGCUCAGUUGGUAGAGCGACGCAUUCGUAAUGCGUAGGUCAGCGGUUCAAAUCCGCUUGCGAGCUCCA